CAUUGUCGAAUCCUGCUCAAGCGGAAUGACCCGUUAACUCGUUAAAACAUCGGGCAAGCGUUAGGGGGCCCAAGGUCCCCUCUUUGCGAUCCCGUGGUGGUUGUCCCCUCACGGGUGUCAACCAACCAAAUAAAUCAACCGGGCGCUGACGGCGCCAAGGAAAUUAAUAUUGAAUUGAUUGUUAGCUUCUCGUUCGCGGGAAGCGGCGUCAAUCUGAAACACAAAUGACUCUCGGCAACGGAUAUCCCGGCUCUCGCAUCGAUGAAGAACGUAGCGAAAUGCGAUACUUGGUGUGAAUUGCAGAAUCCCGUGAACCAUUGAGUCUUUGAACGCAAGUUGCGCCCGAAGCCACUAGGCUAAGGGCACGUCUGCCUGGGUGUCACGCAUCUAGUUGCCCCCUGACCAAACUAAUCUUCUAAGAGAUUUUGUCGGUUUGGGGGCGGAAAUUAGCCUCCUGUGCCAUGUUGUGCGGCUGGCGUAAAACUGAGUCUAUGGUGACGAAUGUCACGACAUCGGUGGUUGUAAGAAGACCUUCUUGUCUUGUCGUGUGAAUGUCCGUCAUCUUAUACGGCUCAAUGACCCUUAGGCGCCAAAAACUUUGGCACUUCGAUUGUGACCCC
Molecule: ribosomal RNA, 620 nt
Filed under: Anthriscus velutina
Lineage: Eukaryota; Viridiplantae; Streptophyta; Magnoliopsida; Apiales; Apiaceae
Description: eukaryotic LSU rRNA
Rfam family: 5.8S ribosomal RNA (bases 227-382)
Source: RNAcentral